RNAcentral lists this ribosomal RNA (501 nucleotides) under uncultured bacterium. RNAcentral's name for it is "partial 16S ribosomal RNA". It matches the Rfam family "Bacterial small subunit ribosomal RNA", at positions 29 to 523 of the family's 1533-position model. The record is from RNAcentral.
AUUGAACGCUGGCGGCAUGCCUUACACAUGCAAGUCGAACGGCAGCACGGGUGCUUGCACCUGGUGGCGAGUGGCGAACCGGUGGGUAAUACAUCGGAACGUACCUUAUCGUGGGGGAUAACGCAGCGAAAGCUGUGCUAAUACCGCAUACGCCCUGAGGGGGAAAGCGGGGGAUCGAAAGACCUCGCGCGACUAGAGCGGCCGAUGCCUGAUUAGCUUGUUGGUGGGGUAAAAGCCCACCAAGGCGACGAUCAGUAGCUGGUCUGAGAGGACGAGCAGCCACACUGGGACUGAGACACGGCCCAGACUCCUACGGGAGGCAGCAGUGGGGAAUGUUGGACAAUGGGGGCAACCCUGAUCCAGCAAUGCGGCGUGAGUGAAGAAGGCCUUCGGGUUGUAAAGCUCUUUUGUCAGGGAAGAAACACCGGCUCUAACACAGUCCGGGAAUGACGGUACCUGAAGAAUAAGCACCGGCUAACUACGUGCCAGCAGCCGCCGUAA